UUAACUCAUAUUUGUAUGGAAUGGGAUCGUUUGCGUACGUUUGCCGCUAGGGGCGCUGUUCCAAUUGCAUACAAAAUUGGGUUA
Molecule: microRNA precursor, 84 nt
Filed under: Bombyx mori (domestic silkworm)
Lineage: Eukaryota; Metazoa; Arthropoda; Insecta; Lepidoptera; Bombycidae
Description: mir-2807 microRNA precursor family
Rfam family: mir-2807 microRNA precursor family
Source: Rfam by way of RNAcentral